RNAcentral lists this ribosomal RNA (548 nucleotides) under uncultured bacterium. RNAcentral's name for it is "bacterial SSU rRNA". It matches the Rfam family "Bacterial small subunit ribosomal RNA", at positions 355 to 896 of the family's 1533-position model. The record is from RNAcentral.
UGGGGAAUAUUGGACAAUGGGCGCAAGCCUGAUCCAGCCAUGCCGCGUGAGUGAAGAAGGCCUUCGGGUUGUAAAGCUCUUUCGGCGGGGACGAAACGGUCCGGGCUAACACCACGGACUAAUGACGGUACUCGCAGAAGAAGCACCGGCUAACUACGUGCCAGCAGCCGCGGUAAUACGUAGGGUGCAGGCGUUAAUCGGAAUUACUGGGCGUAAAGCGUGCGCAGGCGGCUCCUUAAGUCAGAUGUGAAAGCCCCGGGCUUAACCUGGGAACUGCGUUUGAAACUGGGGAGCUAGAGUGUGGAAGAGGGGGGUGGAAUUCCAGGUGUAGCAGUGAAAUGCGUAGAGAUCUGGAGGAACACCGAUGGCGAAGGCAGCCCCCUGGGCUAACACUGACGCUCAUGCACGAAAGCGUGGGGAGCAAACAGGAUUAGAUACCCUGGUAGUCCACGCCCUAAACGAUGUCAACUAGUUGUCGGGGAAGCAAUUCCUUGGUAACGAAGCUAACGCGUGAAGUUGACCGCCUGGGGAGUACGGCCGCAAGGUUA